Molecule: ribosomal RNA, 600 nt
Filed under: Bacillus cereus
Lineage: Bacteria; Bacillati; Bacillota; Bacilli; Caryophanales; Bacillaceae
Description: bacterial SSU rRNA
Rfam family: Bacterial small subunit ribosomal RNA
Source: RNAcentral
GUCGAGCGAUGGAUUAAGAGCUUGCUCUUAUGAAGUUAGCGGCGGACGGGUGAGUAACACGUGGGUAACCUGCCCAUAAGACUGGGAUAACUCCGGGAAACCGGGGCUAAUACCGGAUAACAUUUUGAACUGCAUGGUUCGAAAUUGAAAGGCGGCUUCGGCUGUCACUUAUGGAUGGACCCGCGUCGCAUUAGCUAGUUGGUGAGGUAACGGCUCACCAAGGCAACGAUGCGUAGCCGACCUGAGAGGGUGAUCGGCCACACUGGGACUGAGACACGGCCCAGACUCCUACGGGAGGCAGCAGUAGGGAAUCUUCCGCAAUGGACGAAAGUCUGACGGAGCAACGCCGCGUGAGUGAUGAAGGCUUUCGGGUCGUAAAACUCUGUUGUUAGGGAAGAACAAGUGCUAGUUGAAUAAGCUGGCACCUUGACGGUACCUAACCAGAAAGCCACGGCUAACUACGUGCCAGCAGCCGCGGUAAUACGUAGGUGGCAAGCGUUAUCCGGAAUUAUUGGGCGUAAAGCGCGCGCAGGUGGUUUCUUAAGUCUGAUGUGAAAGCCCACGGCUCAACCGUGGAGGGUCAUUGGAAACUGGGAGACU